AUGCCUUCCACCAAUCCCUCCUCCUCCUCAUCCGCCGGCGACAUCAGCGACGCCGCCGCCGCCGCCGCCCUCUCGAGGCCCGCCGCAUAUCGGGUCACCUCGUCCCUCCUUACCCAGGACGCGGUCGAUGCCCUGUGCAGGAAGCACGGCGUGCCGACCGCCUACACCGCGCGCCCCGCUGGCGACCGGCGCGCCUUCACUCCGCCUCCAGAGCGGGCCGUGUGCCUGUACGCGCACGCUCUCGAGGCCGGGGUGCGCCUCCCGCUGCACAGCUUCUUCUCCAAGGUGCUCACCCACUUCAACCUCGCGCCAGGCCAGCUCGUGCAUAGCGGGUGGCGCGUCCUUGUGGGGUUCGUGGUGUUCUGCCGCGAUGCCGGCGUGAAGCCAUCGACGACCGUAUUCCGCUACUUUUUCUCGCUGGUCACAUACAAGUCCGGGUGCUGGUACGGCUUCCGAGCUGACCACGACGACCGCAAGCUCUUCACUGGGUAUUGUCUGGAAUCCGAGGAGACGUGGAAGGGCAGGUUCUUCUUCCUGACAUCGCCGGAGCCAUGGCCCUGCCCCGUGCUUUGGGCCGAGCGGCCGUCGAAGUACAAGUACUCCAGCAGCGUCCCUGAGCGAGUGCUCACAAGCCGGCAAAAGAGAAUGGCGGCAAAGCUACUGGGCGCACGCAGCACCGCGGUUGAUCUCCGGACUUACCUCUCUGAUACCAAACUUGCAGAGGUUUUCUCUUCCAGCAUCGCCUCACCACCGCCCGGACCUGCCCUUCAUUCCACUGGCGGCAAAGGCACGGAUUCGUCCGCGGCGACUGUGAAACCUGAGCCGGACGGCGACGCGCCGACGGUGUCCCUGAAAAAGAGGAAACACGAGGAGGCAGCUAUGGCAAAAGACGACCUUUGCCGUUCUGAGCAGAGCACGCCGCAUGCUGCCCAUGGCUGCUCGGCCUCCGCAUCCGGCUUGGGUGCCCCGCCAGGUUUCGACCCGAAGGCACGGCACCUGCCCGUGCCCGACACACACGACGGCGACAGCGCCGACUGGGAGGCCGCGAAGAAGGUGCUAGAGUGCAUCACCACGCCGUCGCGGGAGCGUGGGUUCGCCGCUGCAACGCCCUCCGACGUCGUCGCGUCGAGCUACUCCGCAAUGCUCCAGGCCGCGAACUACGCGUCAUUCUCCUUCGGCUAUGCACUGGAGCUGGAGAAGAAGCUGGCUGCGCGGGACAAAGAGAAUGCCGCUCUACGAUUGCAGCUGGAGAGCGCCAAGGCCGAGUUGACCGCGGCGAAGCGCGCAGCGGAGGGGAGAUGA
RNAcentral lists this ribosomal RNA (1302 nucleotides) under Triticum aestivum (bread wheat). Its description in RNAcentral is "partial small subunit ribosomal RNA". Lineage: Eukaryota; Viridiplantae; Streptophyta; Magnoliopsida; Poales; Poaceae. The record is from RNAcentral.